RNAcentral lists this long non-coding RNA (5810 nucleotides) under Zostera marina. Its description in RNAcentral is "long non-coding RNA (ZMAR_LNC005686)". The record is from RNAcentral. Lineage: Eukaryota; Viridiplantae; Streptophyta; Magnoliopsida; Alismatales; Zosteraceae.
GUCACGUAUUUAUCGACUCAUUUUUAUUUAUUAUAGUAUUUACUUGUCAGGCACUUAGGCCAAAAAAACACGUCUUAAUCUCACUGACUAAGGUUUUUAUUCUUAAAUUGAAAUCGGAGUAAACCAACAACACGAUUAGUCAGUUUUAUCCAUGUCACCCACAAUCACGUGUGGGUCCUAUGCAGAAACACUUUCAUCUUUUCUUCUCCGGUCUCGAAGCAACCAGCAAGCCGAUUUCGCCGCGCUCCGACGAUAAAAGAAGUCAACAAUCUCCGGAUUGUUACCAAAAAUGGAUCACUCUUAUCGGUACCUACUCUCACAAAUCCUAAUCACUUUCCUCAUCUUUAUCCUCGUCCAUUCUUUCUUUCUUUCCGCCCAAUCUACUAAUUCACCUUCCCGUAGGUUUCACUUCCCCCUCCCUCCUCCUCCUCCUCCUCCUUCUCCUCCUCUUCCUCCUCCUCCUCCUUUUCCUCCUCCUCCUUUUCCAGUUCAGAAACACGAUGAUAGCAAAAGAGGGGUGAGCCAUGGAGAGGCGGUGGGGUUGGUGUUCAUCGUGAUUGGGUUUUCCAUGCAGUUCGUUUUCGUUUCGUUUUUGGUGUAUCAGAGGAGGAGGAUUUGGAGUCUCGCCCAUCGAAAUGAUCCAUCUCCUUCCCCGGAAUCAACUUCGCGAUCUGCUUCUGCUUGAUUUACUACUACUUUUUCGAAGGAUUUGGAAGAUAACAACUUAACUGUUUUGAUACUGCACAAAUACACAAUCUCAGAUUCCCAAACAGUGAUUGCUAUUUUGCAAAUAGGUAAAUACUUUGUUCUCUGUUUAUCUAUCUAUCUAUUCAUUAUCAUCUCUAUACAUCUGUCUAUAUGAUAAAUCAUUUGUUACAAUUUUGAAUACUUGCCUAUCUAUUUAAUUUUGUUACUUGUGGUGAUUUCAGAACACCAUCAAUUAUCUGUAAAUCAUUGAACACCAUCAUCCAUGAUGGGGGUUUGAAUUCAGAAGUCUGGAUUUCUAUACAUAUAUUAUUCGAAUUUUGGGUUUGUUUUAGAUUUUGAAAAUUAAGAUUCCUAGGAUAUUUAUACCUAAAAAGUUGCUUGGUCCAGAGUCCAGAGUUUUUUUUAAUCUUUGUUCCCUUUGUGGGAUUGAAAGAAUGGGCCUCUGGCACAUGGAACCCUAUUCUUUCUGUUCUUUAGGUUAGGUUUCAGUUCAGAUUUCAGAUCAAAUCAGAUAGGACAAAAACAGACUCUAGUGAAAGAAGAUUUCAUUUCGUCAUCACAUACAUACUUAAGACUUGGUUAGACACUAUACAUCCCAUCAAGAACAUGACAGCAACAAAACCUAAGAAUAGAAUGGAGAAUCAAAUAGAUAGAUAAGUACUGACAUAACAUAACGUAGAUAGAGAGAUAAAUUACAUUCAUAAUCCAUUUUCACUUGUUAUUUAGUUGAUAGAUCAGUUAAAGAUUGGAGUUGAAAUGGAGAGUUGGGUAUUGGAGAAAGAUGAUUCCUUCUCAUUGCUGUCAUGUUGGUCCUUGGAAGCAGCCUCAAGCAACUUGAAAUCUGCACCAAGCACAAAGCAGUGUUGUUGGUGCUGCUUCUCCUCCUCUACCUGACCAGUCACCAUGUAUCCUUCUUUGGUCAGAUUUGCGGUUGUAUAGCAGUCUUGCUGUUGUUGAUGAAGAUAAGUUGAAGAUGGCGGGGAUCCCAUUCCUAGAGGUGUGAAACUCAAGGAACCACUGAAUCUCUCAGUUUCUUCUCCCUCUAUUCCAUGAAAAUACCUGUUUUUGUGUGUGUGUUAGUCAAAUGAAACCAGAACUAAAGUAAUUAAUAAACAAUACUGAAGUUCAAUAUUGAUUAAGUACAUGGCAUACCUCAGAUCUCUUUCAGACUUUUCAGUGGAGGUGGAAGCAGAACCAGGAGAAGGUCUAGGGUAGCAGUAUGGAUAGAAUGGCAGGUGGGUAUUGGUGGUUGUGUUUUCCAUGGAAGAAAUAGAAACUUUGUGGUUGGUGUUGGUGUUGUUUCUAGGAGUUUCCACAGGCUUUCUUGAACGACUCUUGCCUCUAAGCAUGUGCCUCUCACAAUACUUGGAAUCUGGAUGUGCUGCCUUGGAACACCUCCAUUUCUUCCCAUCUGUUCUCCUGCAUCUUCCUGGCUCUGGGUCUUCCACUUUUCUCCCAUACCCCCAUCCUACUUCAAAGUUGAAAACAAAACAACAACAAUAAGAAUAAUAAGAAGAAAUAAGAGUGCAUGCAAUCUAUCUAUCCAUUAUAUAUAUAUAUAUAUCUUACUUGUGUUGUUGUUAGGGUGUUGGUGAGGGGAGAAGAUGGACGAUGAUACUGAAGAAGAGAUGGAGUCCAAGAGGAUACUUCUUCUCAUGUGAAGUACGAGGUCAGAAGGAAUGGGGAGACCGGAUGCCAUGCACUUGAAAAUGAUAGCUUGGUUUUCCAACUCCAUCCACUGAGUUGCUGUGAAUGGAUACCUGUUUUGUUUUCCAUUCAUCACCAUGAUAUCUAUCUUUCUUUCUAUAUCUCUGUUAAACGUCCCUAGAAGAAGAUAGAUAGAAAGAACCAAACACCCAUAUAUUGUUUCUUACAUGGAUGGUGAUGGUUUUAAUAACAUAGAUUAGCAGGGAAAGUUGUGCCCUAGGUAAUAGCUACAUUAAGUCAUUAAUAACAAGUCAGUAGUUGUUGUAUCUGGGAAAUGUCAGUCAAGUAAGAAGAAGCUGCAGAAUCUUCUCUACUUGUGUUUGCAUGGAAAUUAGAUUGACAGAUAGAUGAUAAAUAAAUUUAAAAAAAAACCCACCCACCUACCCACCUAUAAUCAUGUGCUUUGUGGUUGGGCUGGUUGGUAAUGCUUCUGCUUUUCUGCUCUCUGUUAUUAUGAAUAUUAUGAGAGCAUUAUGAUUUGUGAUGAGUGUGAUGGACUGAUGGGGGCAAGAAAUUCAGAAGUUAGUCAGAUCAGACUGCAAUGUCCCCUGUUUGAACAAACCCACAAUCCACAAUCCAAAUCCAAUGAAUUUGUUGUUUUGGGUUGUUGGUGGUACGAGGCUAACAAAAUAUUACUCCAAUGUCGCAUUCAAACAUCACUGAAAUGUGAAUUACUGUGAUUAGUCUGAUGUUGAUGUGACCAUUCCUGUAUUCUUUCUCACUUUCUGCUCAACCUCUUACAUCUUACUGUUUCCACUUACACUACUUUAAUCACCAAACACUCCCAAAAGUAAGUCAAAAAAAAUAUAUACUUAACUUUUCAUUCUUUCUCAACUUAGUUUACUAAUUUGCAACCAAUCAACUGUGUUUCAAAGUUCAAACCAACCUAGCUUGCUGUUAUCCAGACCAGUUCAACGUUUUCAAACUAUCUCGGAAUGUGGUCAUCUGACCAAUCACCAUUCAACACUUUCUUCUUCUUCUUCUCCUCUUCCAGUCUUAACUAACAUCAUCAUUUCAUUCUUGGAACCAUCAGGGUGGUGGGUUAUGCAGUAUGCUGCUCACUUACUCACUAUUCAUUUCUCUUCUUUAUUGCCGGACGGACUAGUUAUCAGUGACCACCACAGCAACCUCAGCCUUGUGUCACUUCUUUCCUUUAGUUCUAAUAUUUCCUGUCUCAUACUUUUAUCUUAUUUUCUUCAGCCUGGUUCAGUGGUUCAGAACUUCAGCAUUGGCUAUUCAUUUUCAUAAUAUUAAAAUAUAUUUUUUCAGAAUCCGGCCCAACUUAAUCCAGCCCAGAAAGCCCAAUUCUGUAAAUGUUAAAAAUAAACUUUUAUUAUCAUCACCCAGGCCUCCAAGGCCCAACUGUUAGAACGUAACAGAAAGUAGUGGUAACUGGUAACAAAAAAAAGUACCGAUGAAUCGUAGAAUAGUCCGGUACCGGUGCCGGUACCGGUGAGGAUGAUAAUCCACGAUCAUCUAAGAAGUCUUUGUGCUGCGAAAAUCCUUCUUUAACUCUGCAACACGUUUGAGGCAAAGUGUCUUGGAUUUUCCGGGAACAGCAGCCUCGAUCUUCUCCCACCUCAUCGGUGUAUCCUUUGGAAACGAUUUCAGGGCGUUAAGAAGUGCGAUGUCCUCACCGGAACUCCAAAGAAAACUCCCAGUAGUAAUGUCUAGAUUGUCGUUUGAAUGUUCAAUGCCUUCUUCCACUACUCUCUUGUCCACAGGUUUCCUUUGCUUAAGAAACUGCGCAAAUGAGUCGCCUAUCAUUCCCUGUUUCCUCUCAGACAAUGACUUGCCUGCUUUCACCACGCUCUCCACUCCGUGCCUUCCUUCGAAAACUUCCGCGAUUAUCUCCCAACGCCGAGGUGUUCCUACUGGCCUCUUCCCGAUCUGCUUCUUCAAGAUCUGGUAAUCCGCCUCCGUCCACUGCUCCUCCUCAAGCACCAUGGGAGAUGUACCUCCUCCAUCAGGUUUCGUUUUAUUUAAUUCUGGUUUCUUCAAAUCCGUCGAAACAAGCGACGGGGCAGGAGCAGAAGCAGGAGCAGGUUGGUAAUCGGAUCGUUUAGAUCUACGGAACUUCUUGUUGUCCCGAUCCUCAACCUGAUCCAUCUCAUUCAGAUCUGAAUGGUCCACGAUCUCCUCUUCCAGAAUCUCACCUCGUCCAACGUGAACAUCUCCCCCGGUUAACGACACGGGAGCGAAAGGGCCGACGAGGAGGGAGACGGAGAGCCAUACGAAGAGAGAAUUGAGAAAUUGGAAAGACGCGAGGUAAUAGAAUGCAAAGAACAUAAGCAGGGAUGAUGCUAAAAAACAUAAAAUUGCGGCGAGCUUCGUCGUCUUUAUCAGAGUUUUGGGCUCAACGGAAGCCGCGGUGGCGGAAGAGCGGGAGUGGAAUUGAAUGGACGGUCUUGCCUCAUCAAAAAACUCCAUUUUUUUUCUUUUCUUUUUUAAUUCCACUCUCACCUUUCCCGAUUUCCACUUCCAGUAAGGGUGAUAUGACGACAAUCGAGUUGGGUCGGGUCGGGUCGGAUGUUUAUUUUUUCGACUAUAAAUUUAAUUUCGACCCGGUGUCCGGUCAUUUUUCGGAUCAGCAUAAAUGUUAAGGAUUCUUAAAUGGUCAAUCAUAAACUCGAUCCACCUUUUAAAACUAAUCAUUUCUUUUAUAAAAACCAAGACUUCAACUAGGGAUGGCUACGAGUAUAUCUAUGUGGCUCAGAUCUAGUAAUCCUAGCUUCGUAUCUACUUUCAAAUUCAAUAUCAAAUACGAUAUAUGUCUCGUUAAAAUCUGAAUUGAUUUAAUAAUAUCUAACGAAGUUUCAAGGAGGAUCAUAUCCUUGGAGGCCACCUUCCCUCUGAUGGGGAUCAUCCUUUCAGGGCCCACCCUACUCUAUGGAGGUCGAAGACGGUCGAGUUAUCGACAAUGAAGAGAAAACUUCCUUUGAAACUCUCUUUCGUUGAGCCAUUGAAGAUCGACAGUAGGUCACACGUUGUGAUUGGAAAGGAUCUGCUGGAAGAAGCUACUGGAAACGCUAAUGUUGUAUUGUUACAUUUCUACAGGAAACCCACGUCAACCAGAAGCAUAAAUCGAUGGAUCAGGAACAAAUGAAAAACGUCGGCACCAUUCAGAUCAGAGAAGAGAGAAACCUACUGUUUCGUAAUAUAUUAGAGGAUCUCAUGGAGGCAUCGAUUACUAUUCCAAGGGGCCUACUCUGCAAUAUCAUUCAUUAGAUCUUCAUUCAAUGGUUUUUUUGAUUCCUUACCAGAGUCUAAUAAUUAUUUUCUAAAACUUUCUUUGGUUUGUCUUUUUCCUCUUGUAAAAUUCUUUUUAGAUUUCUAUUUCUUUUUGUUCAAAGAUUAGAAAUAGAUUUUUUUUUGUAUCAUCUUUUUAACUUAUG